UCUGAUAUUUGAAAAUAAAGAGUUUGUCAUUUUCAUGAGAUAUUUAUGACCUGUAUGCUACCGCAGUAUGUCAAUUCUUUUUCCAGCCACAUCCUUUGGUACAUAAUAUCAUUAGUGGUUCUCUGUUAGAGUCUGCCAAACAUUUCAUAUUGUCAUCUUAUUCCCUUCUAAAAUGAAGGCUGUGGAUAUUAUCCAUCUUUAGAUGCUGAAUGCCAUGCCGUGUAGCGUUAGGUGAUUGGGACCGCAUGUGUGUACUAAUGAGAACUGUUAUUUGUUAAGAUGUGGUGGCAGCAUAAUUAAUGGCCACAAUCAAAAUGUAAUAGGGAUGUUUGCUUUAGUUUGUAGAUGUCACAUAAGAUUAUUAGGCUGAAUUGCCUUUGUUUUUAUUAAUUUUUACAAAUGUCG
Molecule: unclassified non-coding RNA, 405 nt
Filed under: Hevea brasiliensis (rubber tree)
Lineage: Eukaryota; Viridiplantae; Streptophyta; Magnoliopsida; Malpighiales; Euphorbiaceae
Source: RNAcentral